RNAcentral lists this long non-coding RNA (1236 nucleotides) under Vulpes vulpes (red fox). RNAcentral's name for it is "lncRNA (ENSVVUG00000013200.1)". The record is from RNAcentral. Lineage: Eukaryota; Metazoa; Chordata; Mammalia; Carnivora; Canidae.
AUGACAAGCCCCUCGCCGCCCCCCUCUCCUCGCAGUCGCCCUCCGUGCCUGUCGGAGAGUCUCUCACUGGACUGCCCCCGCCCCUCCGCCUGCGGCCGCGUCUGCGCCUGCGCAGGACUCGCUCCUAAUAAGGCCGGGGGCCCGCCCCUACCGCCCUACCGGAGGGUUCGCAUUCUCCCGCCUUCCCUCCGCCGCCCGGGCGAUUGGUCUGUCCGCUCUCGGCCGCGGGGGGAGGGUGCGGAGGACGGCCAAACGGCAGGCUGCGCCCCGCCCCCUCUUAAAGGGGCAGCGCUGUCAAGCCCGCCUCUUCGCUCAAUGUCCGAAUGGGACUGGGGAGGGAAGGCGGCUGGCUCCUUCUUCCGUCGUUCCCACGGGGAAGGGGACUCUCGGUGCGAGUCCCUCGGCCCGCUGUUACCGACAUUUUCCUUCUGGGGGUGGGUGGGGAGCGCCCUGGCGCGGCGCGGCAAGUCGCGGGGCUUUAAAAGAGCAGCAGGCGGCCGGCCGCUUCUCGCUACGAGCUGGAGGAAGGCCGGCGGGAACUACGCUACCCAGCGUGCAGCGGGCGCGGCUCCCGGCAUGCUCGGCGGCCGUGUUCCCGCCAGGCCGCCGCCUCGACGCGGCCCGCGGGCCGGGCGUCCUCCUCCUCCUCCUCCUCCUCCUCCGGCGACGGCGGCGGCCUUCGGGCUCAGGGACGCCGGGGCGGGGGCAGAGGGCGAGGGCUGUUUCCGCGCAGCGUUCGACGCGGCGGCCCAGCGGCGGGGCCGAGGUCGCUGCCACAGGGACUCUCAGGACGGGAUGACGUGGGAUUCGGGGAGACGAAGCGGCCCUAAAGAGGACGAACACGCGGAGAAUUUCAGCGGCAGGCUUGCGAGAGCAGGUGCCUUCGAGUCAGACGGGAAACGUCAGGGGGCUGUCCCCCCGGGCCCCCCCCCCCCCCCCCCCCCACGGGNCCGCCCCGCCCCGCGGUGUCCGUCCGUCCGCAGGGGCGGCGCACCUGUACGGGGACCUCUGCAGAGCACUUUGAAAACCAAUGUUUGUACGAGUGCCCAUCGACGUGCAAAGAGAAGUGCAGGCUCUGACCUGCAGGAAAUUUUGCAUUUCAAGGCAAAACAGCAAAACAGCCCUCCAGAAAACUCGGCCGCUUGGGAACGACAAAAUCCUGCAGGGGGCUGGGAGACGGCCUGGCGUUCUCCUGUGGCCCUCUUGUGGUCCUCGACUACUCGAAUAUUACAUUAA